RNAcentral lists this ribosomal RNA (693 nucleotides) under uncultured bacterium. RNAcentral's name for it is "bacterial SSU rRNA". It matches the Rfam family "Bacterial small subunit ribosomal RNA", at positions 36 to 760 of the family's 1533-position model. The record is from RNAcentral.
CUGGCGGCGUGGAUAAGGCAUGCAAGUCAAGGGGGCUCUUCGGAGCAACCGGCAGACGAGGUAGUAACACGUAGGUACGUACCCCAAAGUCUGGCAUAGCCGGCCGAAAGGUCGGGUAAUUCCAGAUGGUCCCGCAAAUUUAUUUUUGUGGGUAAAGUUUUUUCGCUUUGGGAGCGGCCUGCGUCGUAUCAGCUUGUUGGUAAGGUAAUGGCUUACCAAGGCUAUGACGCGUAGGGGAGGUGAGAGCCUGACCCCCACCGAUGGAACUGCGACACGGUCCAUACUCCUACGGGAGGCUGCAGCCGAGAAUAUUCCGCAAUGGGCGAAAGCCUGACGGAGCGACGCCGCGUGAAGGAUGAAGGCCCUCGGGUCGUAAACUUCUUUUAUGAGGGAGGAAAUUUUGACGUUACCUCAUGAAUAAGGAGCUCCUAAUUCCGUGCCAGCAGGAGCGGUCAUACGGAAGCUUCAAGCGUUACCCGGAAUCACUGGGCGUAAAGGGUGUGUAGGUGGUUGUAUUAGUCUUCUGUUAAAGACUCGGGCUCAACCCGAGGAGUGCGGAGGAAACGGUACAACUAGAGGAUAUGAGAGGUGUGCGGAACUCAUGGUGUAGGGGUGAAAUCCGUUGAUAUCAUGGGGAACACCAAAGGCGAAGGCAGCAUCACUGGCAUAUUCCUGACACUGAGACACGAAAGC